AAUAUUCUGAAUGGUCAGCUGCGUACACCAAUAUUUAUUCCGUAUAUUAAGCCUCAUUACAUGUUUUCUUGGCCUCUUCAACAGGGUCCCCUCAUUGUGAUUUCUGCUGCCACUGUCUCGAACAUUCUUCAGGAAGACUGUUUUGCUUUAAAACUUCAGGCCCAGCAGAGACAUGCACCCCGUACUGUGUUCCUAGUACAGUUAA
Molecule: long non-coding RNA, 205 nt
Filed under: Homo sapiens (human)
Lineage: Eukaryota; Metazoa; Chordata; Mammalia; Primates; Hominidae
Description: HSALNT0250626
Source: RNAcentral